UCUUAUGUACAUGCCUACAACGUUUAUGCAUAGAAUCCCAUUAGAACUUUGCAGUUAAGUAUGUUAGGGCUAGAGUAAUACUAGGAUCAGUCACCACCUGGAAAGUCCUAGAGUUUUACAUGUC
Molecule: non-coding RNA, 124 nt
Organism: Picea glauca (white spruce)
Lineage: Eukaryota; Viridiplantae; Streptophyta; Pinopsida; Pinales; Pinaceae
Source: Rfam